RNAcentral lists this transfer RNA (82 nucleotides) under Podarcis lilfordi (Lilford's wall lizard). Its description in RNAcentral is "tRNA.Ile". Lineage: Eukaryota; Metazoa; Chordata; Lepidosauria; Squamata; Lacertidae. The record is from RNAcentral.
GCAAGUGGAUAGCUCAGCAGGUUAGAGCGUGGUGCCAAUAACGCCAAGGUGGCAGGUUCAAUCCCCGUAUGGGACAGCUGCA